RNAcentral lists this ribosomal RNA (253 nucleotides) under uncultured bacterium. RNAcentral's name for it is "partial 16S ribosomal RNA". It matches the Rfam family "Bacterial small subunit ribosomal RNA", at positions 524 to 776 of the family's 1533-position model. The record is from RNAcentral.
UACGUAGGGGGCAAGCGUUGUCCGGAAUCAUUGGGCGUAAAGCGCGUGUAGGCGGCUCGAUAAGUCCGUUCUGAAAGUCCAGGGCUCAACCCUGGGAUGCGGAUGGAUACUGUCGAGCUCGAGUCCGGAAGAGGCGAGUGGAAUUCCUGGUGUAGCGGUGAAAUGCGUAGAUAUCGUUUGGAACGCCAAUGGUGAAAACAGGUUGCUGGGAGUGUGCUGACGCUGAGACACGAAAGCCAGGGGAGCAAACGGG